Molecule: ribosomal RNA, 896 nt
Filed under: uncultured bacterium
Lineage: Bacteria
Description: bacterial SSU rRNA
Rfam family: Bacterial small subunit ribosomal RNA
Source: RNAcentral
AGUCGACGAUGAAUCUUCUAGCUUGCUAGAAGUGGAUUAGUGGCGCACGCGGUGAGUAAUGCAUAGGUUAUGUGCCCUUUAGUCUGGGAUAGCCACUGGAAACGGUGAUUAAUACUGGAUACUCCCUACGGGGGAAAGUUUUUCGCUAAAGGAUCAGCCUAUGUCCUAUCAGCUUGUUGGUGAGGUAAUGGCUCACCAAGGCUAUGACGGGUAUCCGGCCUGAGAGGGUGAUCGGACACACUGGAACUGAGACACGGUCCAGACUCCUACGGGAGGCAGCAGUAGGGAAUAUUGCUCAAUGGGGGAAACCCUGAAGCAGCAACGCCGCGUGGAGGAUGAAGGUUUUAGGAUUGUAAACUCCUUUUGUUAGAGAAGAUUAUGACGGUAUCUAACGAAUAAGCACCGGCUAACUCCGUGCCAGCAGCCGCGGUAAUACGGAGGGUGCAAGCGUUACUCGGAAUCACUGGGCGUAAAGAGUGCGUAGGCGGGGUAAUAAGUCAGAUGUGAAAUCCUGUAGCUUAACUACAGAACUGCAUUUGAAACUGUUACUCUGGAGUGUGGGAGAGGUAGGUGGAAUUCUUGGUGUAGGGGUAAAAUCCGUAGAGAUCAAGAGGAAUACUCAUUGCGAAGGCGACCUGCUGGAACAUUACUGACGCUGAUGCACGAAAGCGUGGGGAGCAAACAGGAUUAGAUACCCUGGUAGUCCACGCCCUAAACGAUGGAUGCUAGUUGUUGCCUUGCUUGUCAGGGCAGUAAUGCAGCUAACGCAUUAAGCAUCCCGCCUGGGGAGUACGGUCGCAAGAUUAAAACUCAAAGGAAUAGACGGGGACCCGCACAGGCGGUGGAGCAUGUGGUUUAAUUCGAAGAUACGCGAAGAACCUUACCUAGGCUUGACA